This 446-nucleotide long non-coding RNA is filed under the name Heterocephalus glaber (naked mole-rat). RNAcentral describes it as "lncRNA (ENSHGLG00100034614.1)". Lineage: Eukaryota; Metazoa; Chordata; Mammalia; Rodentia; Bathyergidae. The record is from RNAcentral.
AAUUGAUUCAAAACAUUUCUCUUUCAUAGUUAUUUUGACUUUGAGGAAGAGCUAGAAGUCCCACACUGCGAGAUCUGCUCUUGAAUGAAAAGCAAGUAAGAGUUGAAGAUCAGUGCAGAACAGGAAACCAGGGUAGUGCUGUCCAGUCUGACUCCAGAGUCUAAGAGGUACACAAGUCUGAAAGGCCCAAACAUCUCAUCAGUAACUGGCCAAGGUGUUCUGGAGUGAAGAGAUGGAGCCAGGGGACCUUGAUGGGCAAGUUACUGCCGAACACAACCUCCUUGGAGAGUUGCCAAACCUGCCGAGGGAAGCCAAAGGGGCUGGGGACUUGUUUGCUAUAAAUUAAGCACAGGCUCAUCCAACCUUGACUAAUACUUGAAUUUGUUUCUUCUCAUUGUAUUGUCCAGCAUUCUCAUCAAAAUGAUACCCUUACUAUUGUUAUGGCC